AUUAUUCGCCUACGGAGUUUUCUCCCAGUGUUUCGGGUUGUUGAGUAUGGAUUAUAGAAGUGGACACUGCAAUGUUAUUUCAGAAUUGCUUUUUCCAAUUCAUCGACACAACAUUGGAAGGUUGUAGAGCAUCAGGGAAAAGAAUUUUAUACGACGAGAAUACUUUGAAGCAGAAUGGGUUGCCUAUGUGAAAGACAAAAAAUCCUAUGUAUAAAUUCAAAUUAUUAUACUGCUAUCGCGCGAAAUUAAAUGAGUGCACUGUAAAAGAUAGAAAUGCUACAAUUUGAGUCGAAAUUAGUAACCAACUAAGUUUUUCGAUCUUAAUAAAAUAAUAUAUUUAAAUUUAUUUGGUACAUCAGCAAAAAAAAAUAUUUCAUAACACAACACUUAAGUGAAUGUUUUUCACUUUGUUUUGUGUAUUUGUUUAAUGUUGAUAUUUUCGUUGUGUAUUGUGCAUUACAACUUUUUAUACGAUUUAUGAUAAAGAUUUUUUUAUUUAAAAAUGUGGACAAAAGAAUUUCUUAAGUAGCUUUCCGUUAUCAAGCAAAAUGAGAGUAUAAAGGCGUAAUAAAGUCAUAGUAGUAAAGAAAGUGAUUAUUAAUCAAAAAUAUUUGUUAGUUGCAAUAUGAGGAUAAAUAAAGAAAUAGCUUUAUUAAAAAUUCA
This is a long non-coding RNA of Agrilus planipennis (emerald ash borer), 663 nucleotides long. RefSeq lists it as uncharacterized. The record is from RefSeq and is a predicted model, not a curated record. Lineage: Eukaryota; Metazoa; Arthropoda; Insecta; Coleoptera; Buprestidae. The transcript is spliced from 2 exons.